AUGGACGCCUCCGCCGGCUCGUCGCCGCCGCGGCACUCGCAGGGGGACGCGCCGAGGCGCGGCGGGCCCCGCCGCGGGAAGGGCCCCGCGGUGGAGAUCCGGCAGGGAGAGGACGACUUCAUGUUCGCGCAGGAUACCUUCCCGGUCCUCCCGGACUUCCCUUGCCUCUCCUCGCCGUCGAGCUCCACCUUCUCCUCGUCCUCCUCCUCCAACUCCUCCAGCGCCUUCGCUGCCCCAGCGGGAGCGGGCGGGCGUGGGGGCGAGGGAGCGCGCGGCGAGCCGUCCGAGCCUGCAGCGGCCGGGGACGGGAUGGACGACCUCUCCGACAUCGACCACCUGCUCGACUUCGCGUCCAUCAACGACGACGUCCCUUGGGACGACGAGCCGCUCUUCCCCGACGUCGGGAUGAUGCUGGAGGAUGUCAUCUCCGAGCAGCAGAACCAGCAGCCUCCGGCGGGCCACGGCGCGGGCGGGAGAAUGGCGUCGCAUGCGGCCGCUGGUGGAGGAGAUGAUGCCUUCAUGGGUGGCGGCGGCGGGGGGAGCGCGGCGGACGACCUGCCGCUGUUCUUCAUGGAGUGGCUCAAGAACAACCGCGACUGCAUCUCGGCCGAGGACCUCCGCAGCAUCCGCCUCCGUCGAUCCACCAUCGAGGCCGCGGCCGCGCGCCUCGGUGGGGGGCGCCAGGGCACCAUGCAGCUGCUCAAGCUCAUCCUCACCUGGGUGCAGAACCACCACCUGCAGAAGAAGCGCCCCCGCGUCGGCGCCAUGGAUCAGGAGGCGCCGCCGGCAGGAGGCCAGCUCCCCAGCCCCGGCGCAAACCCCGGCUACGAAUUCCCCGCGGAGACGGGUGCCGCCGCUAACACAUCUUGGAUGCCCUACCAGGCCUUCUCGCCAACUGGAUCCUACGGCGGCGAGGCGAUCUACCCGUUCCAGCAGGGCUGCAGCACGAGCAGCGUGGCCGUGAGCAGCCAGCCGUUCUCCCCGCCGGCGGCGCCCGACAUGCACGCCGGGGCCUGGCCGCUUCAGUACGCGGCGUUCGUCCCAGCUGGGGCCACAUCCGCAGGCACUCAAACAUACCCGAUGCCGCCGCCGGGGGCCGUGCCGCAGCCGUUCGCGGCCCCCGGAUUCGCCGGGCAGUUCCCGCAGCGGAUGGAACCGGCGGCGACCAGGGAGGCCCGGAAGAAGAGGAUGGCGAGGCAGCGGCGCCUGUCGUGCCUGCAGCAGCAGCGGAGCCAGCAGCUGAAUCUGAGCCAGAUCCAAAGCGGCGGCUUCCCUCAAGAACCAUCCCCCCGCGCGGCGCACUCGGCGCCGGUCACGCCGCCCUCUUCCGGCUGGGGAGGCCUCUGGUCGCAGCAUGCCGUCCAGGGCCAGCCCCAUGGCCAGCUCAUGGUCCAGGUUCCGAAUCCGCUGUCGACGAAGUCCAAUUCCUCGAGGCAGAAGCAGCAAAAACCCUCGCCGGAUGCAGCAGCGAGGCCGCCCUCCGGCGGCGCCGCCACGCAGCAGCGCCCGGGGCAGGCGGCGGCUUCCGACAAGCAGCGGCAGCAGGGUGCGAGGACGCCGGCGGCGGCGCCGGCGGCAGGAGACAAGAACCUGCGGUUCCUGCUGCAGAAGGUGCUCAAGCAGAGCGACGUCGGAACCCUCGGCCGCAUCGUGCUCCCCAAAAAGGAAGCGGAGACUCACCUGCCGGAGCUCAAGACGGGGGACGGCAUCUCGAUCCCCAUUGAGGACAUCGGCACAUCUCAGGUGUGGAGCAUGCGGUACCGAUUUUGGCCCAACAACAAGAGCAGAAUGUAUCUUCUGGAGAACACUGGAGACUUUGUUCGGUCGAAUGAGCUGCAGGAGGGUGAUUUCAUCGUGCUUUACUCUGAUGUCAAGUCGGGCAAAUAUCUGAUACGCGGCGUGAAGGUAAGAGCGCAACAGGAUCUAGCCAAGCACAAGAAUGGCAGUCCAGAGAAAGGUGGGGCGUCCGACGCGAAGGCGGGCGCAGAAGACGGUGGUUGCAAAGAGAAGUCUCCGCACGGUGUCCGGCGAUCUCGCCAGGAGGCCGCCUCCAUGAACCAGAUGGCCGUGAGCAUCUGA
Molecule: ribosomal RNA, 2079 nt
Filed under: Triticum aestivum (bread wheat)
Lineage: Eukaryota; Viridiplantae; Streptophyta; Magnoliopsida; Poales; Poaceae
Description: partial small subunit ribosomal RNA
Source: RNAcentral